Molecule: long non-coding RNA, 201 nt
Organism: Portunus trituberculatus (swimming crab)
Lineage: Eukaryota; Metazoa; Arthropoda; Malacostraca; Decapoda; Portunidae
Exons: 2
Source: RefSeq, a predicted model, not a curated record
UAACUCUCGUGGUGUUAGAAUCAGCCUGGAAGAAAGACAUAGUGUUGAUGCUUAUCCUGCCAUACGUGUGUGUGUGUGUGUGUGUGUGUGUGUGUGUGUGUGUGUGUGUGUGUGUGUGUGUGUGUGUGUGUGUGUGUGUGUGUGUGUGUGUGUGUGUGUGUGUGUGUGUGUGUGUGUGUGUGUGUGUGUGUGUGUGUGUGU